AUUGAAACUCAAACAAACAAUAGUUACUGCUUUUUACAUAAAAUGACAACCAAAUAUUAUAACUGCGCUAUUUUUUUGGAUAAUUUUUUUUUAACCUAUAAUCAUAAAUUUAAUGCUAUACAAAGCAACAUAUAUGAGUAUUUAUUUUGUUUAAUAAAUUUGAAAAACACGAAUGUAAGAUUUUUUUUUUUAUGCAGUGUGGUUUUUAAUAUGUACAUGUUUAGGUUGUGGGUAGAGACGCUGCAUAAGAAAGUGACCGUUAUUGAUUUAUCAAGUCAAAAGGACGUUUAUGUUUUACAUAAAAAAUUUGUGCUUAAGUUGGAUGAUAAUAGUGGUGGUGGUGGUGGUAGUGAUGGUUGUGGUGGUAGUGAUGGUUGUCGUGGUAGUGAUGGUUGUGAUGGUAGUGAUGGUUGUGGUGGUAGUGGUAGUGGUAGUGGUAGUGAUGGUUGUGGUAAUACCAACAGUACCAAUAAAAACACUAUUGAAAAAGACAAAAAAAAUAGCCCAAAAAAUGGACUUAGUGAUUUAUCCGGUUCUUACAAUUUUUCAAAAAAACCUAAUACUAAUGAUGACUUCAAUUUAAUAAAUCUUGUCAAAAAUAGAAAAAGAAAUGUUAUAAAUAAAGAAAUGGAAAAUAAAUUAUUACUCUUUAAUAAUUAUAGAAAAGAAAUCAUUGUUAAUUAUUUAAAAAAGAAUAAUUUAUAUAAUUUAAACAAAUUAAAAAAACAAAAUAAAAAAAUUAAAAGAAAACUAAACAUAGCAAAAAGAGUCUUAAAAAAAAAAAAUCAUCUAACGAAUUUAAAUAUUGAUCAUUAUAUAAACUUUAUUAUUAAUACCCAAAAAAAAGGUAGUAUAUUUUUAAAAAAAAAAAUAAUAGAUCCUGAGUAUGUUAUGAAAAAAGAAAUUUUACAACUAAAUGAUAAGAUCAAGUUGUUGACUAAACGUAUGAAUGUUUCUUAUAAUAUGCAUAAUAAUAAUAAUACUGUACAUAAGGAAAAGAACAAACAUUGUUCGGAUAACAACGGAUUUGAUACAAAGGAAUAUAAACACGAUAUGUAUAACCAAGUGAUGGAUAAACCAUUUUUGAAAAAGAAACUGUCAAGUGAUCAAAUAUGUUUAGAAGAAACGGAACAAAUAAAAAGUAUGAACAAUACAAACGAGUACAAUAAUCAUUGUAGUCACGCAUGUUCUUGUGAUACAAACUGUAUCUACUCCCAAAAAAAAGACAUAUGUUUUUGCAAUUCGAAAGUUAAAUGGUUUUACACGAAUUGUGAGAAUAGUAAUAACAACAGUAACAAAAUGGUGGAAAAAGCAAACAAAAUAAUUGACCGAACGAAAAAUGUUGAAAUUUAUCCGUGUAUUUAUUAUAUAUUUGAUGAAGAAAAUAAACUUGAAACGUUCGCUGAAUUAUUAUAUAAACAAAUGAAUCGUUUGCAAAAUAAAGAAAUAAAAAAAAAAUUCCAAUUUCUUAUUAAAAAAUAUCAACAAACAAUAAAAAAAAUAGAUCUAAAAUUUAUAAAAUAUUUACGAAAAGGAAUUUAUUUAAUUAAAAAUGUUAUGAACGAGUCAGAGGAAAACAUUCUUACUAUAUUAUUAAACAAUAAAAUGAUAAGAAUUAUUUUGUCACGUGUUGAUAUUUCAACUACCAAGAUAAAAAUAAACAGUGUAUUUGUAGAAACUGUACAAAUAAAAAAUCAAAAUAAAAUAAAAGAAUAUAACAAUUUGAUAGACAAAAUAAAUGAAUUUCAUAGUGAUAUAUUUUUUAAUAAACAUAAAAUAAUGGAACAAAAAAUAGAAAAAAAUGUUAUUUAUAAUAAAAAAGAAUUAAAAAAUAUUUUUCAAAAUAACACAAUGAUUAUAACUGAAGAUAUGUAUCGGUUACAUUUCAUCAAGUAUUUUAUGUUUUUAAAUUUUAAAAAUAUAUUUAAACAAUAUACAUUAUCUAAUAGUGAGUUGAUCAAUUUAGCAAGAAAUGCAAAA
Molecule: long non-coding RNA, 1980 nt
Organism: Piliocolobus tephrosceles (Ugandan red Colobus)
Lineage: Eukaryota; Metazoa; Chordata; Mammalia; Primates; Cercopithecidae
Source: Ensembl